ACGGAGGCAUUGUUACGGUUAUAGCAUAUUAUAUCAUAGGAAUACCGCUGCUGAUAGUGUUUGUAUUGUAUACAUCUUUACAGAUAGCAGGUGUAUGGUUGGCUUUCUGUACAGCUAUAGUAGUCAUAUUUAUAUUGUUUGCUGCGAAGACAUUGUCACUUAGUUGGAAAAAUGAAUGUAAAAAGGCUCAAGAACUGACAGCAGUUAACGUAAAAGACCCAACUUAUUAUGGAGAUGAUCACAGCACAUCAUGUAGUUAUACAGAAGCCAAACCAAGUGAUAGCGAUUUUCGUCAGUUGUCUGAACAAAAAAUAGGAGAGCAAUCGAUACCAUUGUAUAAAAUGAUUAUAUGUCAACGGUUCUUAAUAUCUGUUUCAUUAUUACUGAUUCUAUUUGGAAGCAUUGUUCUGAAUAUGUUCUUGGAUCAAACAUAUAGAGAUAACGUACAAUGUAACGGAAAUGAUACAAUGUAUAAUCUGACUCAAUGUGUAAAUGUUUCUUGACAGGGUAUUGUUUGAAAACCUUAACCAUCACCAUGGCAUAUGCAUAUUAAGAUUUGACUUAACUUAUGAAUAAUACAUUUGA
This is a long non-coding RNA of Mytilus californianus (California mussel), 585 nucleotides long. RefSeq lists it as uncharacterized. The transcript is spliced from 4 exons. Lineage: Eukaryota; Metazoa; Mollusca; Bivalvia; Mytilida; Mytilidae. The record is from RefSeq and is a predicted model, not a curated record.